GGUGGGAGCUGGCUUGCCUGCGAUUGCGGUGCGCCAGAUAACCGAUUCGGUACUGACGGUGCGUUAUCGCAGGCAAGCCAGCUCCCACA
RNAcentral lists this unclassified non-coding RNA (89 nucleotides) under Pseudomonas salomonii. The record is from RNAcentral. Lineage: Bacteria; Pseudomonadati; Pseudomonadota; Gammaproteobacteria; Pseudomonadales; Pseudomonadaceae.